UUCCGGUUGAUCCUGCCGGACCCGACUGCUAUCGGAUUGAGAUUUAGCCAUGCGAGUCGAACGUCCUCCUGUUGCGGGGGGCGUGGCGUACGGCUCAGUAACACGUAGUCAACCUGCCCUGGAGACAAGGACAACCCCGGGAAACUGGGAUUAAUCCUUGAUAGGUCAUCUCAUCUGGAAGGAGAGAUGGCUUAAAGGGGUACGCGGGCUUCUUCCGCGAAUCUGCUCCAGGAUGGGACUGCGUCCGAUCAGGCUGUUGGCGGGGUAAUGGCCCACCAAACCUGUAACCGGUACGGGCCUUGAGAGAGGUGGCCCGGAGAUGGACACUGAGAGAAGGGUCCAGGUCCUACGGGGCGCAGCAGGCGCGAAACCUUCGCAAUGCGCGAAAGCGUGACGAGGUUAAUCCGAGUGACUUCCGCUGAGGAGGUCUUUUGUCAGCUGUAAAUAGGCAGGCGAAUAAGGGGAGGGCAAGCCUGGUGUCAGCCGCCGCGGUAAUACCAGCUCCUCGAGUGGUCGGGGCGAUUAUUGGGCCUAAAGCAUCCGUAGCCGGUUCCGUAGGUCCUCUGUUAAAUCCAACCGCUUAACGGUUGACCUGCAGAGGAUACCGCGGGACUAGGAGGCGGGAGAGGCGGACGGUACUCCGCGUGUAGGGGUAAAAUCCUUUGAUCCGCGGAAGACCACCAGUGGCGAAAGCGGUCCGCCAGAACGCGCUCGACGGUGAGGGAUGAAAGCUGGGGGAGCGAACCGGAUUAGAUACCCGGGUAGUCCCAGCCGUAAACGAUGCUAG
Molecule: ribosomal RNA, 787 nt
Filed under: uncultured archaeon
Lineage: Archaea
Description: bacterial SSU rRNA
Rfam family: Archaeal small subunit ribosomal RNA
Source: RNAcentral